GUUAUUUAAGUAAAUUUUGGUAACUGAAAUUUAUGCAUAUUGGAGCCAUGCAAGGGAAGACUGCCUGUACUGCACUACUUCAUAUCUGAGGGAACCAGAUUUACAGACCUCAAAGGAUGAUGAAUGGUGGAAGACGGGAAAUUGAUUCUGUUAACCCAGCCUAAGCGAUUUCCCACAAAGUGAGGGCCUGGAGCAGCCUUUGGAUCUGGUGAAUGGUUAGUACAUUUUCAAGACACCAUAUUAUGCUCUUCAGACCACUUCAGCUACUGUCAAGAACUCAACAGCUGUGUCAACUCUGCCUAAGGAGGGGAAUUUAGAAUGUGCAUCAUUUUGGCAAUAAA
Molecule: long non-coding RNA, 341 nt
Organism: Canis lupus familiaris (dog)
Lineage: Eukaryota; Metazoa; Chordata; Mammalia; Carnivora; Canidae
Exons: 3
Source: RefSeq, a predicted model, not a curated record